UACGUAGGGAGCGAGCGUUGUCCGGAAUUACUGGGUGUAAAGGGAGCGUAGGCGGGACGGCAAGUCAGAUGUGAAAACUGAGGGCUCAACCUUCAGACUGCAUUUGAAACUGCUGUUCUUGAGUGAAGUAGAGGUAAGCGGAAUUCCUAGUGUAGCGGUGAAAUGCGUAGAUAUCGAGAGGAACACUCGUGGCGAAGGCGGGUUCCUGGACAUUAACUGACGCUGAGGCACGAAGGCCAGGGGAGCGAAAGGG
RNAcentral lists this ribosomal RNA (253 nucleotides) under uncultured Ruminococcus sp. Its description in RNAcentral is "partial 16S ribosomal RNA". It matches the Rfam family "Bacterial small subunit ribosomal RNA", at positions 524 to 776 of the family's 1533-position model. The record is from RNAcentral. Lineage: Bacteria; Bacillati; Bacillota; Clostridia; Eubacteriales; Oscillospiraceae.